GACGAACGCUGGCGGCGUGCUUAACACAUGCAAGUCGAACGGAAAGGCCCUGCUUUUGUGGGGUGCUCGAGUGGCGAACGGGUGAGUAACACGUGAGUAACCUGCCCUUGACUUUGGGAUAACUUCAGGAAACUGGGGCUAAUACCGGAUAGGAGCUCCUGCUGCAUGGUGGGGGUUGGAAAGUUUCGGCGGUUGGGGAUGGACUCGCGGCUUAUCAGCUUGUUGGUGGGGUAGUGGCUUACCAAGGCUUUGACGGGUAGCCGGCCUGAGAGGGUGACCGGCCACAUUAGGACUGAGGUACGGCCCAGACUCCUACGGGAGGCAAAAGGGGGGAAUAUUGCACAAUGGGGGGAAGCCUGAUGCAAACACGCCGGGUGCGGGAUGACGGGCUUUGGGUUGUAAACCGCUUUCGCCUGUGACGAAGCGUGAGUGACGGUAAUGGGUAAAGAAGCGCCGGCUAACUACGUG
Molecule: ribosomal RNA, 468 nt
Filed under: uncultured bacterium
Lineage: Bacteria
Description: partial 16S ribosomal RNA
Rfam family: Bacterial small subunit ribosomal RNA
Source: RNAcentral